CUGACGAGUUUGAUCAUGGCUCAGGAUGAACGCUAGCGGGAGGCCUAAUACAUGCAAGUCGAACGGUAAGGUCCCUUCGGGGAUACACGAGUGGCGGACGGGUGCGUAACGCGUACGAAACAUACCUUCAACAGGGAGAUACCGCCGGGAAACUGGAAAUAAUACCCCAUAGUAUUGAGAUAUCGCAUGAUAUUUCAAUUAAAGCUUUGGCGGUUGAAGAUUGUCGUGCGUCUGAUUAGCUAGUUGGUGAGGUAACGGCUCACCAAGGCGACGAUCAGUAGCUGGUCUGAGAGGAUGAUCAGCCACACUGGAACUGAGACACGGUCCAGACUCCUACGGGAGGCAGCAGUAGGGAAUAUUGGACAAUGGGCGGAAGCCUGAUCCAGCCAUCCCGCGUGUAGGAAUAAGGCCCUAUGGGUUGUAAACUACUUUCAUUAGGGAAGAAAAACUUUGAUUUAUCAGAGCUUGACGGUACCUAAGGAAUAAGCACCGGCUAACUCCGUG
Molecule: ribosomal RNA, 504 nt
Filed under: uncultured bacterium
Lineage: Bacteria
Description: bacterial SSU rRNA
Rfam family: Bacterial small subunit ribosomal RNA
Source: RNAcentral